GGUGAGUAACACGUGGAUAACCUACCUAUAAGACUGGGAUAACUUCAGGAAACCGGAGCUAAUACCGGAUAAUAUAUUGAACCGCAUGGUUCAAUAGUGAAAGACGGUUUUGCUGUCACUUAUAGAUGGAUCCGCGCCGCAUUAGCUAGUUGGUAAGGUAACGGCUUACCAAGGCAACGAUGCGUAGCCGACCUGAGAGGGUGAUCGGCCACACUGGAACUGAGACACGGUCCAG
Molecule: ribosomal RNA, 235 nt
Filed under: uncultured Staphylococcus sp.
Lineage: Bacteria; Bacillati; Bacillota; Bacilli; Caryophanales; Staphylococcaceae
Description: partial 16S ribosomal RNA
Rfam family: Bacterial small subunit ribosomal RNA
Source: RNAcentral